GUGGGGAAUAUUGGGCAAUGGGCGAAAGCCUGACCCAGCAACGCCGCGUGAAGGAAGAAGGUUUUCGGAUCGUAAAGCUCUUUCGUUAGGGACGAACGUGCUCUUUGUGAAUAAUGAGGAGUAAUGACGGUACCUAAAUAAGAAGCCACGGCUAACUACGUGCCAGCAGCCGCGGUAAUACGUAGGUGGCAAGCGUUGUCCGGAAUUAUUGGGCGUAAAGCGCGCGCAGGCGGGAUAUCAAGUCUGUCUUAAAAGUGCGAGGCUCAACCUCGUGAGGGGACAGAAACUGGUAUUCUUGAGUGUCGGAGAGGAAAGUGGAAUUCCAAGUGUAGCGGUGAAAUGCGUAGAGAUUUGGAAGAACACCAGUGGCGAAGGCGACUUUCUGGACGAUGUCUGACGCUGAGGCGCGAAAGCUAGGGGAGCGAACGGGAUUAGAUACCCUUGUAGUCC
Molecule: ribosomal RNA, 450 nt
Filed under: uncultured bacterium
Lineage: Bacteria
Description: partial 16S ribosomal RNA
Rfam family: Bacterial small subunit ribosomal RNA
Source: RNAcentral